GGAUGCGAUCAUACCAGCACUGAAGCACCGGAUCCCAUCAGAACUUCGUAGUUAAGCGUGCUUGGGCGAGAGUAGUACUAGGAUGGGUGACCUCCUGGGAAGUCCUCGUGUUGCAUUCC
RNAcentral lists this ribosomal RNA (119 nucleotides) under Triticum aestivum (bread wheat). Lineage: Eukaryota; Viridiplantae; Streptophyta; Magnoliopsida; Poales; Poaceae. The record is from RNAcentral.